Molecule: transfer RNA, 85 nt
Filed under: Caudoviricetes sp.
Lineage: Duplodnaviria; Heunggongvirae; Uroviricota; Caudoviricetes
Description: tRNA-Ser
Rfam family: tRNA
About the family: Transfer RNA (tRNA) molecules are approximately 80 nucleotides in length. Their secondary structure includes four short double-helical elements and three loops (D, anti-codon, and T loops).
Source: RNAcentral
GGAUAGUUAGCCUAAUGGUAAGGCAGCAGUUUGCUAAACUGUGGAGGUAAAACUCUUAUCGGUUCGAGUCCGAUACUGUCCGCCA